CUGCUUUGGCAGCACAUCUGCUAGAGCUGGAAUAGCACAGAGAAGAUCAGCAUGGGCCCUGUGCAAGGAUGACACACAAAUCUGUGAAGUGUUCUAUAUUAAA
Molecule: small nuclear RNA, 103 nt
Organism: Phyllostomus hastatus (greater spear-nosed bat)
Lineage: Eukaryota; Metazoa; Chordata; Mammalia; Chiroptera; Phyllostomidae
Source: RefSeq, a predicted model, not a curated record